RNAcentral lists this ribosomal RNA (1061 nucleotides) under Bacillus pumilus. RNAcentral describes it as "bacterial SSU rRNA". It matches the Rfam family "Bacterial small subunit ribosomal RNA", at positions 31 to 1071 of the family's 1533-position model. Lineage: Bacteria; Bacillati; Bacillota; Bacilli; Caryophanales; Bacillaceae. The record is from RNAcentral.
AAACGGCCGGGGGCGCGGGUGCUGUACAUGCAAGUCGAGCGGACAGAAGGGAGCUUGCUCCCGGAUGUUAGCGGCGGACGGGUGAGUAACACGUGGGUAACCUGCCUGUAAGACUGGGAUAACUCCGGGAAACCGGAGCUAAUACCGGAUAGUUCCUUGAACCGCAUGGUUCAAGGAUGAAAGACGGUUUCGGCUGUCACUUACAGAUGGACCCGCGGCGCAUUAGCUAGUUGGUGGGGUAAUGGCUCACCAAGGCGACGAUGCGUAGCCGACCUGAGAGGGUGAUCGGCCACACUGGGACUGAGACACGGCCCAGACUCCUACGGGAGGCAGCAGUAGGGAAUCUUCCGCAAUGGACGAAAGUCUGACGGAGCAACGCCGCGUGAGUGAUGAAGGUUUUCGGAUCGUAAAGCUCUGUUGUUAGGGAAGAACAAGUGCGAGAGUAACUGCUCGCACCUUGACGGUACCUAACCAGAAAGCCACGGCUAACUACGUGCCAGCAGCCGCGGUAAUACGUAGGUGGCAAGCGUUGUCCGGAAUUAUUGGGCGUAAAGGGCUCGCAGGCGGUUUCUUAAGUCUGAUGUGAAAGCCCCCGGCUCAACCGGGGAGGGUCAUUGGAAACUGGGAAACUUGAGUGCAGAAGAGGAGAGUGGAAUUCCACGUGUAGCGGUGAAAUGCGUAGAGAUGUGGAGGAACACCAGUGGCGAAGGCGACUCUCUGGUCUGUAACUGACGCUGAGGAGCGAAAGCGUGGGGAGCGAACAGGAUUAGAUACCCUGGUAGUCCACGCCGUAAACGAUGAGUGCUAAGUGUUAGGGGGUUUCCGCCCCUUAGUGCUGCAGCUAACGCAUUAAGCACUCCGCCUGGGGAGUACGGUCGCAAGACUGAAACUCAAAGGAAUUGACGGGGGCCCGCACAAGCGGUGGAGCAUGUGGUUUAAUUCGAAGCAACGCGAAGAACCUUACCAGGUCUUGACAUCCUCUGACAACCCUAGAGAUAGGGCUUUCCCUUCGGGGACAGAGUGACAGGUGGUGCAUGGUUGUCGUCAGCUCGUGUCAUAUG